Non-coding RNA from Xyrichtys novacula (pearly razorfish), 324 nucleotides. The record is from the annotation of a GenBank genome assembly. NCBI's taxonomy places the organism in Eukaryota, Metazoa, Chordata, Actinopteri, Labriformes, Labridae.
AGAAGGAGCUCAGGGCCUGAGGUGGACAAUCAUAGAUGAUGCGGCUAACAGUCCAGAGGAAUCCAAGAGAAGAAGGAGCUCAGGGCCUGAGGUGGACAAUCAUAGACAGUAGUCAACUCUAGUUUUAUGUUAUUAAUGUCAGUGAGGCUGAUGUUCAUGUCUGCAGUAACAGUAACAGUCCAGAGGAAUCCAAGAGAAGAAGCUCAGGGCUUGAGGUGGACAAUCAUAGAUGAUGCGGCUAACAGUCCAGAGGAAUCCAAGAGAAGAAGGAGCUCAGGGCCUGAGGCGGACAAUCGUAGACGAUGCGGCUAGAGUCAGGCAGGU